CCUACGGGAGGCUGCAGUGGGGGAUAUUGCACAAUGGGGGGAACCCUGAUGCAGCGACGCCGCGUGGGUGAAGGAGUGCUUCGGCAUGUAAAGCCCUAUCGGCAGGGAAGAAGCAAGACGUUACCUGACUAAGAGGCCCCGGCUAACUACGUGCCAGCAGCCGCGGUAAUACGUAGGGGGCGAGCGUUAUCCGGAUUAACUGGGGGUAAAGGGAGCGUAGACGGCCAAACAAGUUAGAUGUGAAAUCCCGCGGCUCAACCGCGGAACUGCAUUUGAAACUGUUUUUCUUGAGUACCGGAGAGGUCAUCGGAAUUCCUUGUGUAGCGGUGAAAUGCGUAGAUAUAAGGAAGAACACCAGUGGCGAAGGCGGAUGACUGGACGGCAACUGACGGUGAGGCGCGAAAGCGUGGGGAGCAAACAGGAUUAGAUACCCUAGUAGUC
This 441-nucleotide ribosomal RNA is filed under the name uncultured bacterium. RNAcentral describes it as "partial 16S ribosomal RNA". It matches the Rfam family "Bacterial small subunit ribosomal RNA", at positions 338 to 795 of the family's 1533-position model. The record is from RNAcentral.